Molecule: long non-coding RNA, 249 nt
Organism: Achroia grisella
Lineage: Eukaryota; Metazoa; Arthropoda; Insecta; Lepidoptera; Pyralidae
Exons: 2
Source: RefSeq, a predicted model, not a curated record
AAUUUGCCUCUGAUGGGUCGUUUUUAAAAUUAACAUAUGCCUGUUUAGAGUUAUCUACUGCAAGAGUACAUUUUUGAUUCCACCAAGGUAAAUGGUAGCUACCUAAGGGAUCAUUAUGUACUAUCCAAUGUGAAGCAAGAGAUAUGCAAGGGGAUGCAAUAGUAAGGUCAAGCGCAUUACUCUGCCAUCUGUGUGAUCCUACUGUAGUCGGUGUACCAUCAUUUAAGAGGACCAAGUUGUUACCAUCAA